RNAcentral lists this ribosomal RNA (552 nucleotides) under uncultured archaeon. RNAcentral's name for it is "bacterial SSU rRNA". It matches the Rfam family "Archaeal small subunit ribosomal RNA", at positions 327 to 879 of the family's 1478-position model. The record is from RNAcentral.
GGGGUGCAGCAGGCGCGAAAACUUUACAAUGCAGGCAACUGCGAUAAGGGAACAUCGAGUGGCACGCAUAAUGUGUGUCUGUCCAGCUGUCUAAAAAACAGCUGUUAGCAAGGGCCGGGCAAGACCGGUGCCAGCCACCGCGGUAAUACCGGCGGCUCGAGUGGUGGCCGAUAUUAUUGAGUCUAAAGGGUCCGUAGCCGGCUUUGCAAGUCCUGUGGGAAAUCCAGCGGCUUAACCGUUGGGCGUCCGCGGGAUACUACAUUGCUUGGGACUGGGAGAGGUAAGAGGUACUCAGGGGGUAGGAGUGAAAUCCUGUAAUCCUUUGGGGACCACCGGUGGCGAAGGCGUCUUACCAGAACAGGUCCGACGGUGAGGGACGAAAGCUAGGGGCACGAACCGGAUUAGAUACCCGGGUAGUCCUAGCCGUAAACGAUGCUCGCUAGGUGUCACAGCAGUCGUGAAUUGCUGUGGUGCCGUAGGGAAGCCGUGAAGCGAGCCACUUGGGAAGUACGACCGCAAGGUUGAAACUUAAAGGAAUUGGCGGGGGAGCAC